RNAcentral lists this unclassified non-coding RNA (394 nucleotides) under soil metagenome. Its description in RNAcentral is "partial contains 5.8S ribosomal RNA, internal transcribed spacer 2, and large subunit ribosomal RNA". The stretch from base 1 to 122 matches the Rfam family "5.8S ribosomal RNA", at positions 35 to 154 of the family's 154-position model. The record is from RNAcentral.
GAUGAGGAACGUAGCGAAAUGCGAUACUUGGUGUGAAUUGCAGAAUCCCGUGAACCAUCGAGUCUUUGAACGCAAGUUGCGCCCGAAGCCAUCAGGUUGAGGGCACGUCUGCCUGGGCGUCACAUAUCGUUGCCCAAUGCCUAUUGCAGUGCAAUAGGAAUUUCUAGGGCGAAUGAUGGCUUCCCGUGAGCGUUGUUGCCUCGCGGUUGGUUGAAAAUCGAGUCCUUGGUAGGGUGUGCCAUGGUAGAUGGUGGUCGAGUUAGAACGAUACCGAUCAUGUGCAUGCUCCCCAAAAUAUGGCCUCUAUGACCCACACGCGUCUUUUGACGCUCAUGACGAGACCUCAGGUCAGGCGGGGCUACCCGCUGAAUUUAAGCAUAUCAAAAGCGGAGGA